Molecule: long non-coding RNA, 1822 nt
Filed under: Homo sapiens (human)
Lineage: Eukaryota; Metazoa; Chordata; Mammalia; Primates; Hominidae
Description: HSALNT0324786
Source: RNAcentral
CCCAGAGAAGCCCUUCCUGAUGCAGUCGACGGGGGUGAGAACGUCGCGGGAAAUAUUCCCUCACUAACCCCCACUUUGGGCUACACAGCGGCCUUGGAGAGGACCACACUCUACAGGAAAAACAUCAGGCUUGCAAAGAUGUUUACAAUAGCAGAGGCAUGGAGUUGGUAGAAGAGAAAGAUCUCCAAGCAAAGAAUGGGUUUUCCCUGAGAAGGUCGCAUCCCAUGCAGACAACCCAUUUCGCCUCACCAGGAAAGCUGAACUCAGACCCCUGUGAGUUGUGUUCAUAGCGCUUUACGUCCAUCUCCUUAAAACUGUGGUGGUGGCUUACGUCUGUCAUCCCCGCACUUUGGGAAGCUGAGGCGGGCAGAUGAUGAGAUCAAGAGUUUGAGACCAUCCUGGCCAACACGGUGAAACCCCAUCUCUACUAAAAAUACAAAAAUUAGCUGGGCGUGGUGGAGCGUGCCUGCAGUCCCAGCUACUUGGGAGGCUGAAGCAGGAGAAUCACUUGAACCCGGGAGGCAGAGCUUGCAGUGAGCCGAGAUCGUGCCAUUGCCCUCCAGCCUGGUGACAGAGCGAGACUCCGUCUCAGAAAAACAAAAACAAAAACAAACUGUGGCAUCUUCAAGAAGAUGGCAUUUUAUCCAAUUCCCCUUUAAUGAGAAUGUGAGCUUAAGUUAGGCUAACUUUUGUCUCUCUGUUGUCCCUAAUCGGACUAAGAAAAGCCACGUGAUCUUGAGCAGAACAAGGAACAUUUCAGCCCCCCGGCCUGUAACAGGGAAGCUCAAGAUGCCACAUGGCGAGGCUCUGCAGCCCAUCUGCUCAAACCUGCCCACACCGCACCUUGCUCCCGGGAGCCCUAAACCCCUCGCCGAGUCUCAGGCUGAGCAGGGGUCUCAGAUCUGGCUGCCCAUUAGAAACCUGGUAGGCUCUCACCCAAUGCAAAGGAUGCUGUGAUCCCCUCAGCAGGUCCUGAGAGAGGACUCAGCCACUGCACACCCACACUGGUCUCUGGAGGGGCAGCCACGUUCUAUCGUGGUAACGUCCGCCCCGUGGCAGGGACUGCUGACUGUCCCUACGCUCUCCUCCUUCCUCUUGGUGAUGGAAGCUACCACCCGCCGAGUUGCAGAUGCCCACAUUUCCCGGACCCUGUGCAGCUCGCUGUGGCACAGAGACUGCAUGUGGGACAAUGGGAAUACUACCAAAGAGAGGCUGAGGAGUGAGGUGAGCCAGCCUCCAUCCCGUGGGAGAGAACCACAUGACGGGCCAGCCCCAUCCCGUGGGAGAGAACCACAUGACGGGCCAGCCCCAUCCCGUGGGAGAGAACCACAUGACGGGCCAGCCCAAUCCUGUGGGAGAGAACCACAUGACGGUGGAGCCACACGUCCACCAGAGCCUAAGCGUUGGGGCCCCGAGUGACCACACGGAACCACGCUGCCCCAGGCACAGGAGCACUCAACUCUGCAGCCUCACCAGAGGGAGACGGCGCUGCCUGCCCGAGCCGCUUCACACUCAGACCUUUUCACUACAGCAGAUUCAUCUACUCACAACAAAGGGGUUGUGAGUUCUCCAAGAACAUGUUUUUAAAUAUCUUUCAGUAAAUCUAUUACAAGUUCUCAUUAGAUUGAAUUUAUUCUUAAGUUGUUUUAUCUCAGUUGCUAUUAUAAAUAAAUUAAUUUAUUCCAUGCCAAUUGGUACUUUGGUUAGACAGGAAACAUCAAUUUUGAGAAUAUAUUUAAUAAUCGGCUUCUUUGUAAUUUUUUAUUAGUUACUUCAUGCGUGUGCAUGUGUGUGUGUGAAUGUUUACAAACAUGGAACAUGC